UACGAAGGGGGCUAGCGUUGUUCGGAAUCACUGGGCGUAAAGCGCACGCAGGCGGAUUGAUAAGUCGGGGGUGAAAUCCCGGGGCUCAACCUCGGAAUUGCCUUCGAUACUGUCUGUCUUGAGUCCGGGAGAGGUGAGUGGAAUUCCUAGUGUAGAGGUGAAAUUCGUAGAUAUUAGGAAGAACACCAGUGGCGAAGGCGGCUCACUGGCCCGGUACUGACGCUCAUGUGCGAAAGCGUGGGAGCAAACAGG
This 252-nucleotide ribosomal RNA is filed under the name uncultured bacterium. Its description in RNAcentral is "partial 16S ribosomal RNA". It matches the Rfam family "Bacterial small subunit ribosomal RNA", at positions 524 to 776 of the family's 1533-position model. The record is from RNAcentral.